AAUUUAUUGAAAACAUUUUGUCUUCCACAUUGAACAAAAUAUAACGCAUGCUUAUUUGAAAGAUCUACUUAUUGACGCAUAAUCCAUUUUUCACACAUAAUAUCUAGAUCAUAUGAUUUGUAUGCAUUUUUUUAUAAACAAUUGCAUCACCAUGCAUAUCUAUUAUUCCAGAGAAUGAAGAAUUACGUCCCUAUUGUGUUUUGUAGUUUUCCAUUAGUCUAUAUUGUAGAGGUUUACAUAUUACUUGAUCUAGAUCUAUAAUUCUAGAAUAAGAACAUGAAUGAACAUACUUUGAAAAUUAUUAACAGCAAGUAGUGUGUAGGACACAACCGCGAGUUCAUUGCAGGAACUGGAAAAGUUAUGUCACAAACGACAACGAAUAUGUUAUCAUUGUUGAAAUCACAAUACUGUCAUAUUUUUAUGGACUAGCAAAUUUGAACGUACCACGAGCAUUAUAACAGGAUUACUGUCACAUAGUGGAGUUGCUAAGCACAUCAGUAUUUUCUUUUCUUUGUGUUUGUUUGAUAACUUGUAUGUCUUUCGUGGAC
Molecule: long non-coding RNA, 548 nt
Filed under: Mytilus galloprovincialis (Mediterranean mussel)
Lineage: Eukaryota; Metazoa; Mollusca; Bivalvia; Mytilida; Mytilidae
Source: RNAcentral